Molecule: RNA transcript, 3468 nt
Organism: Panicum virgatum (switchgrass)
Lineage: Eukaryota; Viridiplantae; Streptophyta; Magnoliopsida; Poales; Poaceae
Exons: 13
Source: RefSeq, a predicted model, not a curated record
GGAGCCGCCCCUCAACGUCGUGAGUGCCGAACAUUUCACUACCUAAAAAGAACGAAGUCACGGUGUGUCCGCUCGUCUGUAUGUCCGUCAAUCCCUGUUUGUCCGCCCGCCCCUGGUCUCCGCGGCCGCCUCCAUCCUCCGGUCCCUCCGCGGAACCGCACGCCUGGACUCGAACCGCACCGCCCCUGGACUCCGCGGCCGCCCCCUUCCUUCGCUCGCCUCGCCUCCCUCCGCACCUCGCCUCCCUCCGCCCAGCCGCGUGCUCCGCCUCCACUCCUUCCCCUUCGCAGCGGCGACGCACCUCGCCUGGACUCCGCGGGGAGGAACCGGUGGGGGCUCGAGCUCGCCUCGCCUCCCUCUGCACCGCGCGUCCUUUCCUUCGCUCACCUCGCCUCCUUUCCCGUCCUUUCCCGUCGCCCGCGAACCGCACGAAGCCUCCCCUCCGCGCAACCGCGUGCUCCGCCUCCCCUCCUUUCCCGUCGCCGCCGCCGCCGGACAGCGGCGCCGGGUGGGUCGUCUCCGGCAGGGGCCAAGAUCCGGAGCUGCAUCGCGGGCUCGUCGCGCCUCCCUUCCCCACCUGAAGCUCGGACCCCUCGCUCCUCACGGCCCGCGGCUUCCGGGACCGUGGCGCCUCCAAUCUCCUCCACCGCCCGACUUGAAGAAGUUUGGAUCGUCGGGCUCGGCGGCUUCCAGAUCGUGCUCGCAGUCAAGGACCUCUGCAACGGCGUCCGCGAGCCUGUAUAGAAGCUUGGGGACAGGAAGGAGACGGUCACCCAGUUCGUCAACAGCAACCUCUCCCCGAUCCAGCCAUAGGAUUUGGUGUUAAUGCAGCAGAUACUUUCAUGGUUUACUGAAUGUGGAGUUGGACAAAGAUAUAGGGAAAAAGGGAAGGAAAGCAUUACAGAAUGCCAAAAAAAAUUGAGUUCUGAUGAUACAUAGAGAAUCACUUGAAAGAAACAGAGAAUCUAAUUUGUGUUUUGUAUGGCAUUCAUGAAUUUUACCUAUUUUAAGAAUCUGGUACUGAACAUUUUCUUUUCAGUGGAUGAAUGCAACAAGCUGAGCGAGAACUGACUAUAUGCUGCUCAAUUCACAUGUUCAUUGUCCUUUCAUCCUUGUUCAUAAGGAAAAUUUCCCAUAUUUUUUUUUGACAAACUGUGCCAUAUGUGGAGUGCAUCAUACUAGCUCAUAGGUUAUCAGACAUCAAUGUAUUUUGUAUUUACCUGAACGCACAUCAUUUAUUUGUAAUCACAGUGGCUGUUCAUUAGUGGAGCACAGGAACCUAAGACUUCUCUAAACUUUAUACUGAACAGAAAUGCUACUACAUUGUCAAAUCUAGAAUAAUAAUGAUGUAUUUGUGAAUAUGUUAUGAUGUGUUUGAUGUCUUGCUGAGCAACAUGAGAUGGUGUUCAGUGCUCCUUGCGUUUGUUGAAUAUAAUUAUCAUUUGAAUGUAGCAAAUUGGGUUCUUUAAAUUGGGUUCCUGCACUUUCUGACAUGAUUGAUGUAUGAUGACUAGACAACAGUUUGAGAUUGAUAUUAGAAUUUAAACUGAUUUCAGAGCGCGGCUGUGAUCUAUAUCCAUCAACUGUGAGGCUAAUCUGAUUGGGUUCUAAUGCUUGAGCCAUGAAAAAAAUAUUUGGUAAAACAAUUGGCCUGCCCAGUGAAGAACUUUUAGCUAUAAUAUACUGACCUUAGUUUUCUCUUGGUCAAGCUAUUAGCAUCGUAAUCUGCAUGAGAUUACUGAUUACUGCAUGACAUCCUUCUAUGUUAUACUCUGCAGUAUUCGAUUUUUACUCCUAGUGAUAAUCCUGGUGAGUGCAUGCAUCAGCAAAACAUGAGUGAUAUGACUGGACAACCCGGUGGACUUGAUCUUGAUGAGAAUAGUGAUUGGUUGCAUACCAAUGACUCCUACCAACGGGGAAAUCCCCAGCAUGGGGGUACUCAAUCGACACCGACAGAUUGUGCUGCCGCCGAUGGAGAUUCCAUUAAUGUCUUGACCAAACCGGACUCAAUAUGUUACAGUCUAACACAAGAUAGGGCAGGUAUCCAAUGCUCAACAAGAGGGCAUCCAGAGAGGGAGAUAACCUGGGGCUGAGAGCGCACCCGAUUCACAGUCAGCGAACAAUGACAAAAAGCAACGUAAGCGGGAAAGAGACAGAGCAAGGUAUGCUGCAAUGUCUCAAGAAGAGAAGAAUGCAAGAAAAUUAAGGCUGCGUGAAGCACGUCAAAAAAAGAAAGAAUUUCAGAAUCCUAUGGAAACAAACAGUUCUCGUGCUCCAUUGGGAAAUUUGACAAACCACACUAAUGGAGGGGCUGAGAGCGCACCCGAUUCACAGUCAGCAAUGAAUGACAUAAAGCAACAAAGGCGGGAAAUGGACAGAGCAAGAUAUGCAGCUAUGUCUCAAGAAGAAAAGAAUGCAAGAAAUCUGAAGCUGCGUGAAGCGCGUCAAAAAAAUAAAGAAUACCAGAAUCCCAUGGAAACAAAUUGUUCUCGUGCUCCAUUUGGUGAUUUGACGAACCACACUAAUGGAGGUGUUAAGGGCGCACCGAAUUCACCGUCAGCAAACAAUGAUAGUAAGACUAGUAAGCAGGAAAGGGAUAGAGCAAGAUAUGCAGUAAUGUAUCAAGAAGAGAAGAAUGCAAGAAAUUUGAGGCUGCGUGAAGCGCGUCGAAAAAAUAAAGGUGCUAGAUGUAUUCCAAAAUUGUGGUGUUACAAAUACAUUACCUGUAAUAAUGGGUGUAAUCUGGAUGGGUCAAGGUUUCAGGGUUCUUACAAAUUUGUUGGACAUUUUAAUAUUUUUCUCAUGUUUUUCAAUUUUGGUUUUGGAGUAUGUUUGCUUGUCAUGAUAUGAGUAAAAGAAUACUGAGUUUCUUGCAUUCCAUUGGUGAGCCAGAAUUUAGUUCGACUUUUACUACUUUUUAUUCUUAUUAUGUUUGUACAAACUACUAUUUGUAGAGGAGGCUGGUGCAUUGAACGAUGAAAAUAUUCAUCCUACUAAAAGAAGACAAAAUGACUUGAGAAAGAAUAGAUGGCACCCUCGCUCCAUUGCCGUGGAGAAUCCACAUUAUGUCCAAUCUACACACCACCAUCACGUGAAGAACAAUCACCUGAUCUUGGGGCUCCAGAAAUGCUUGUUGGCCGCUUAAACCAUAGGCAUCAUGUUACACACGGAGAAAGACAUUCAUUGCUAACAUGUUGGAAUCGACAUUUUGCGUUGAACAUAUCAAGAAAAUCUUGUCGGGCACUACAUGAAGAUCAAGGCAUUUAUGAAGAUAAUGAGGAAGAUGUUAGUUUACCGCAACCCCCGACUCAAUCAACUGGCACCGUGAAUGAUAGUCUUGAUCAAAGCCAACCAAAAUAUACGGGGGAUCCAGCAUGUACAAAUGUUAUAGAUGCCGAGGAUGAUUGCGCCGAGGAUGAUUGUGAUGAGGACGUGAUAUUCGAGGAGGACGACGAGGAGUUUGAAGGA